UGCAAGUCGAACGGUGAACGACCAGCUUGCUGGUCUGAUCAGUGGCGAACGGGUGAGUUAACACGUGAGCAACCUGCCCCUGACUCUGGGAUAACGACCGGAAACGGUCGCUAAUACCGGAUAUGAGACGUACAGGCAUCUGUUGCGUCUGGAAAGUUUUUCGGUCAGGGAUGGGCUCGCGGCCUAUCAGCUUGUUGGUGGGGUAACGGCCUACCAAGGCGACGACGGGUAGCCGGCCUGAGAGGGCGACCGGCCACACUGGGACUGAGACACGGCCCAGACUCCUACGGGAGGCAGCAGUGGGGAAUAUUGCACAAUGGGCGCAAGCCUGAUGCAGCGACGCCGCGUGAGGGAUGACGGCCUUCGGGUUGUAAACCUCUUUCAGCAGGGAAGAAGCGCAAGUGACGGUACCUGCAGAAGAAGCGCCGGCUAACUACGUGCCAGCAGCCGCGGUAAUACGUAGGGCGCAAGCGUUGUCCGGAAUUAUUGGGCGUAAAGAGCUCGUAGGCGGUUUGUCGCGUCUGCUGUGAAAACCUCAGGCUCAACCUGGGGCUUGCAGUGGGUACGGGCAGACUAGAGUGCGGUAGGGGUGACUGGAAUUCCUGGUGUAGCGGUGGAAUGCGCAGAUAUCAGGAGGAACACCGAUGGCGAAGGCAGGUCACUGGGCCGCAACUGACGCUGAGGAGCGAAAGCAUGGGGAGCGAACAGGAUUAGAUACCCUGGUAGUCCAUGCCGUAAACGUUGGGCACUAGGUGUGGGGCUCAUUCCACGAGCUCUGUGCCGCAGCAAACGCAUUAAGUGCCCCGCCUGGGGAGUACGGCCGCAAGGCUAAAACUCAAAGAAAUUGACGGGGGCCC
RNAcentral lists this ribosomal RNA (857 nucleotides) under Cellulomonas sp. VC-CS331. RNAcentral describes it as "bacterial SSU rRNA". It matches the Rfam family "Bacterial small subunit ribosomal RNA", at positions 56 to 922 of the family's 1533-position model. The record is from RNAcentral. Lineage: Bacteria; Bacillati; Actinomycetota; Actinomycetes; Micrococcales; Cellulomonadaceae.